RNAcentral lists this ribosomal RNA (253 nucleotides) under uncultured bacterium. RNAcentral's name for it is "partial 16S ribosomal RNA". It matches the Rfam family "Bacterial small subunit ribosomal RNA", at positions 524 to 776 of the family's 1533-position model. The record is from RNAcentral.
UACGAAGGGGGCUAGCGUUGUUCGGAAUCACUGGGCGUAAAGCGCACGCAGGCGGAUUGUUAAGUCAGGGGUGAAAUCCCGGAGCUCAACUUCGGAAUUGCCUUUGAUACUGUCUGUCUUGAGUCCGGGAGAGGUGAGUGGAAUUCCUAGUGUAGAGGUGAAAUUCGUAGAUAUUAGGAAGAACACCAGUGGCGAAGGCGGCUCACUGGCCCGGUACUGACGCUCAUGUGCGAAAGCGUGGGGAGCAAACAGG